RNAcentral lists this long non-coding RNA (647 nucleotides) under Equus caballus (horse). RNAcentral describes it as "lncRNA (ENSECAG00000045433.1)". The record is from RNAcentral. Lineage: Eukaryota; Metazoa; Chordata; Mammalia; Perissodactyla; Equidae.
CAAGUAACGAUUUGGCUCCCUGAGAGGGAGGCCAUCAACGUGGGAAGAGAGAAGGAGAGUAGGAGAAGCCUGGGACUGCGGCCUGAGGACUGGCCGGCAGCAGACCCAAGACCACACUGGGAUGCCCCACCUUGAAGGCUCUCUGCUGGACAUGCCGGGCCUGAGUCAACUCACUGCCGUCGACCCCGCCCAGGGCCGAUGAGGCCGGCUCUUCAGAUCCUCCCUGAGGAGCAGUCCUCUCCUGUGGACUGACCGGUGGCCAUGUUGGGAAGAAGAGGUGACUUUGGUGCCUGAACAGGCCCUCUACAGGCCUGGCAAUGCUGCUGGAGGAAUUAGAAUCCUUGUCCACUUCAGGCUGGUUGAGACCACCAACCCAUCAAUGGGCCUGUGCAGAUGUCCGAUAGGCGACCUUUUGACAUCAAGAGGCUAAAAACUCCACCUUCAGAUCACGCUCACAGCGCCAUUGUGUGCGCAGGCACCCUGUGAAGAGGCGUGGAGUCUGACUACUCUUGUGUAGAUCUUCAAUGACCUCACCUCUCCUCACCUCCAAUCACCUACCUCCACACUUCAGACCACCUUGCACCCCCAUCCCAGAAAUAUCCCUGAGGCCCUUUUUUCUGAGAAGCAAAUUUGAGACUCAUGCUCUC